CACAAAUGAAAAUAUGAAGGCCCUUCAAACCGGCUGGAUUAUUUUUCUUCACCCUUGUCUUUUGCGCACUUGUUGUUUCCUGGGCGGGUUCGCUCGCCACCAGGACCACACCAUAAACCUUUUUGUUAAUGCAAUCAGCGUCAGUAAAAAGUAAUAAUUAUUUUA
This 165-nucleotide unclassified non-coding RNA is filed under the name uncultured Curvularia. RNAcentral's name for it is "sequence contains ITS1". The record is from RNAcentral. Lineage: Eukaryota; Fungi; Ascomycota; Dothideomycetes; Pleosporales; Pleosporaceae.